This 352-nucleotide long non-coding RNA is filed under the name Musa acuminata (dwarf banana). RNAcentral describes it as "long non-coding RNA (MACU_LNC003785)". Lineage: Eukaryota; Viridiplantae; Streptophyta; Magnoliopsida; Zingiberales; Musaceae. The record is from RNAcentral.
CCGCUCCUCCACCUUCCGCUUUCGCUUAAACCUCACCGAUCAGCCCGGACAGUUCACCCUCGUCUUCGCCAACUGCCUCCCCCCGCUCCGCGUCUCCAUGUCCGUCCGCUCCGCCAUGUUCAACCUUCCCGACCCCUCCCAUCGCGCCUACCUCUCCGCCGGCGCGGCCGUCCUGCCUCUUGUCUACUUCAUCCUCUUCCUCACCUACUCCGCCCUCGCCGCCGCCUGGGCCGCCGUCCUUCUCCGCAGGCGCCGCGCCGCCUUCCGCAUCCACUACUUCAUGCUCGCCGUCGUCGUCCUCAAGGCGUUCAACCUCCUCUGCGAGGCCGAGGACAAGUCCUACAUCGAACGC